Molecule: long non-coding RNA, 1171 nt
Organism: Octopus sinensis (East Asian common octopus)
Lineage: Eukaryota; Metazoa; Mollusca; Cephalopoda; Octopoda; Octopodidae
Exons: 4
Source: RefSeq, a predicted model, not a curated record
UUUGAUGUACACACAGAAGAUUCCUGUGAAUAUACUUUUCGCAUUUUGCUUUAGAUUUAUUAAGAAAUGAGAAAAAAGUUAUUUGCUUUGCCUUCAGUUCUUUCAGAGAUUCACUUGGAAGCAGAUAGUCUCAGCUUUGUUCUUUCUUAUUCGAUACUGCUUGUUUUAGUCGACCAAGUAUGCAACUACGCAACUUAUCUAUAGUAAAAGAACUUCAUACAGCAGGAAACCACAACUUAAAACAGACCCACUUAAAAUAAUUUGUUUAGAAAACUUUGAAUUCAACAUUGUGUUUCCAAACUGCGAUUUAAGAAGUCAGAAAUUAAACAAGUCUGAAACUUUGGACAAAUGUGCUUCACGAACGGUUCACGGAAAACUGGUGUAUAUUUCCAAUGCUGUUUCCAAGGAGAUAUUAUCAUUAAAUUAAUUUUGCUUAUAUCUGUUUCAAAAGGAAUAAAUAACAAAUUCCUCUUCUAAAUGAAUAAAUAAAAAAGACAAUCUUUGACGGUUUUGAACUCAAGAUGUGACACCAAUUUUUGGAUACUGCAUGACAUUGAGUCCAUUUCUUUCAUGAACGAACAUCUCUUACCGUUCAAAUAUAAACAUACUUUUACAAGGCUCAAUGUAAAAUAUAAAAAACAUUAAUGUCCUCACCAAAUUGCUGAAAUUACUACCACUCGACCAAGACAAUUGUCACCACAAAACAACGUGAUAAGAAAUAUUACAAGAUAUCAUCAGAAAAAGGAUAUGCAGAACUGUCUAUGGUCUCCACUGCACAAGCCUUGAAGCCGAAUCUGCUACAUUGGUCUGUUGUACUGUAUAUUUUCAGUAACUUCACGAAGAUUUCUGCUGAUUUAAAACAGAGACACUUGAAAUCAAAAGCUUUGUACUAGAGGCUUUCAUCAACAACAGCUGUAACGAGGGGCCAGACUGGAUAAAAGUAUGAUCGCCACACAAACAAUCAAAAUGAAUGUCUAGCCCGAUAUUAAUAAAUUUAUUUUCUUUUUCGUUUGACUUCCGGACAUCAAACGGAAAAAUCCUCACCAAUUCUUUUACUGUUGAUUCUGUAAACUAACAGUUGAUUCAGCUUAAAAGAUUGUUUAUCUCGAAAAUCCGCUGUUGUUUUGUAUAUUUUGUAUAAGGGAAGAAUUACGUAUUUUGUUGUUUUUUA